RNAcentral lists this unclassified non-coding RNA (535 nucleotides) under plant metagenome. Its description in RNAcentral is "partial contains small subunit ribosomal RNA, internal transcribed spacer 1, and 5.8S ribosomal RNA". The record is from RNAcentral.
UCUCCGUAGGUGAACCUGCGGAGGGAUCAUUCACAUUAUAAUAAUCCAAACCUAUCCACCCAAUCUGUGAACUGUUCUGCCGUGUGAUACCCUUUAAUGAUUUAGCUAUCGAUAUGCGGCCUUGGAUUGAGUGUGCUUUUUUUGCACGCUAAACCCAUAUCGAUCUUACUGCAGGUGCGCGCAUUUCUGUGUGUGUACGCUGCAGUCUAUCUAGAGGGAGGAAGCGGCCCAUCUCUAAUUCAAUGGCUGUGUACUGUUGACUUUCCACAACAUGCACAGUUUUUCAUUGGUUGGGGGAGACCCCCAAGACAACGUUUUGCGUGCUCUGUCUGUGUGUGUGUGUGUGUGUCAUGACAUACGCACACACACACGCUUCAGUGUUUCACAAAACAUUCGUUUCUUAACAUUUGAUAGCUUAGUUAAAGAGGAAUACCUCUUCAACUGUAGCUGACUGUCCAUUGUUUGAACAAAACCUUGGCACAUGUCUUGAUCGAAACGAAUAGAACAACUCUAUGCCCUGGAUAUCUUGGUUCUC